Long non-coding RNA from Cherax quadricarinatus, 1094 nucleotides. RefSeq lists it as uncharacterized. NCBI's taxonomy places the organism in Eukaryota, Metazoa, Arthropoda, Malacostraca, Decapoda, Parastacidae. The record is from RefSeq and is a predicted model, not a curated record.
AGACCUCUCCUUACUAACUGACCAAUGAAUUAAACAUCUCAGUAAUAAUUUAAAUCACUAAAAACUGUGCAAAAUACUAAACAAAUGCACUUAUAGAAGGUAGAGGUAAAAAGAUGGAGAAAGGCAAGUAUAGGCAGGAAAAAACAAACAUUUAAAACCAAUGAGAAAGCAUUAAUCUUUGAAGAAUUAUUCUGAGUUUAACCACCACAAUGAACAAAAAUAUAAUAUUAAAGGCAAUUAUUUUUCAGGAUAACACUAUGCCAAAUGGAAACUAAAAUGGCUUUUUACCACUCUUGCCAUUUGUUAAGACACUGAUUGCAGAGAAUUAUUAUUAUUAUAAUCAAAAAGAAGCGCUAAGCCACAAGGGCUAUACAACUGAUUGCAGAGAAGUCUUUAUUGUCAGUGUUUCCUCACAAACUGGCUUUAUCAAAUAAAGUACUGUACAUGAAAUAAACAAAAACUCCCAUUUUGUAUAUUACAUCCAGGCCUAGUAUUAUUAUUAUUAUUAUUAUUAUAAUCAAAGCUAAACCCACCAGUGCUACAGGGUAGGGUGUGUGAACUACGUAAUAUGCUUGAUCUGAACUAGCAAAGGUGGAGAGUAUAAUGGAGGUAGAGUUUGUAAGGGCAGUGAUCCAGGCCUGGUAGUCAAUCAGGUGCUGAAUGUUAAGUCCCAGGGGUCUGGUGUUGAUCUGGUGAGAGCUGAGAAGCUGGGAAGCACUACAACAAGCUUACCAGCCCAUGCUAGGUACAAUGAUUCAUGCACUGAUAACGAAGAAGCAGCAAUAUGAUUGCAGAUACUGGCAACACUUGAGUUCAUCGCAAUAACAACAGGAGGUGGCUACGAAAUUAUCACAGUAGUACAGUAUGUACAACUGUUAAUUUUACACAGUUAUGAUUUGAUAUUGAAUCUUCACAUUUAUUUACAUUUCUCUCGAAUGCGAAUGGCGCCAUGUAUGAUCUACUAUGUGGUUCGUCUGCAAGUUUUUUACAAAUUGUUGCAAAUCUCCAAAAAGUUUCAAGUAUAUUUAUUGAAAAAAUCCAUGAAUAAGUGGACUUGCCCAGUUUAAACCUGUAUUGUUUAAGGGUCAACUGUA